This 315-nucleotide ribosomal RNA is filed under the name uncultured eukaryote. Its description in RNAcentral is "partial 18S ribosomal RNA". It matches the Rfam family "Eukaryotic small subunit ribosomal RNA", at positions 1470 to 1796 of the family's 1831-position model. The record is from RNAcentral.
CCCUUAGACGUUCUGGGCCGCACGCGCGCUACACUGACCAGUGCAACAAGCAUCCGUCCUUGGCCGACAGGCCCGGGCAAUCUUUGAACGCUGGUCGUGAUGGGGAUAGACUUUUGCAAUUUUUGGUCUUCAACGAGGAAUUCCUAGUAAACGCAAGUCAUCAACUUGCAUUGAUUACGUCCCUGCCCUUUGUACACACCGCCCGUCGCACCUACCGAUUGAAUGGUCCGGUGAAGCCUCCGGAUUGGCGCGCAUCCCGGUGCCGCCGAGAAGUUGGCUAAACCUUACCAUUUAGAGGAAGGUGAAGUCGUAACA